This 468-nucleotide ribosomal RNA is filed under the name uncultured bacterium. Its description in RNAcentral is "partial 16S ribosomal RNA". It matches the Rfam family "Bacterial small subunit ribosomal RNA", at positions 28 to 507 of the family's 1533-position model. The record is from RNAcentral.
GACGAACGCUGGCGGCGUGCUUAACACAUGCAAGUCGAACGGAAAGGCCCUGCUUUUGUGGGGUGCUCGAAUGGCGAACGGGUGAGUAACACGUGAGUAACCUGCCCUUGACUUUGGGAUAACUUAAGGAAACUGGGGCUAAUACCGGAUAGGAGCUCCUGCUGCAUGGUGGGGGUUGGAAAGUUUCGGCGGUUGGGGAUGGACGCGCGGCGUAUCAGCUUGUUGGUGGGGUAGUGUCUUACCAAGGCUUUGACGGGUAGCCGGCCUGAGAGGGUGACAGGACACAUCGGGAUUGAGAUACGGCACAGACUCCUACGGGAGGCAGGAGUGGGGAAGAUUGUACAAUGGGCUGAAGCCUGAUGCAGCAACGCCGCGUGCGGGAUGACGGGCUGCGGUUUGGAUACCGCUUUCGCUUGUGACGAAGCGUGAGUGACGGUAAUGGGUAAAGAAGCACCGGCUAACUACGUG